AAUAAUAAAAAAGUAUUAAUUCAUACAGAAAAUAAAACAAAAAAAAACCCUUCUGCAAGAUAAAUUAUCUGAUUGGUUGAAAUGAGAUUGUGAUUGAAUUUCUAGGUAACAAAUGUGAAUAAUUAUGUACAGUCCAGAUAAAGCACAAAAUUCAAAGUAUUUUGAACAUCAGAUAUCUCUGUAAAUCAUUUAGACCAUCCUUAGCAUAAGAGCAGGAAAUCAGUAACCUUUAUAAUUUCUUGUUUUCAACUUGACAUGAGAUCUAUUAUUGAAGGUAGAAAUUUGGGAACAAGGUUAUAUUAAGCUAAUCUUUGUUCUGCCCAGACCUGAAGACUGUGACGGAAAGCACUCAUGCCUGUCUGUUUUUACUUUUAUUUCAACACAUUUCUGGAAAGUAACAUAACUUGUCUCCCAGAUGUGAACUAUUCGAUAUGAGCAUGACAAAUUCCUCUAUCAUAAGCAGAUUAUUAUUUCAUCAUCUUCAUCAAUUUGCAAUUUUAUGUGGAAUGGUUAAAAAAAAGUGCAUGAAAAGUAAAUACUGCAAAAGUAUAAUUCUAGCGUUUGGCAGUUCAUAAUUAGUUGAGGCUUUAAACUUAACAUAGAAAGACAAGGAAAGGAAUGCCAUAUUUUCAGCAGUAAGUUGGAGUACAGCAUAAUAUGAUAUUAACAUAGUAUAAAACCAGUCAGUAAUGUAAAAUGAAGAGCCUUUCUUCUACAUCAAAAGAUGUCUUGGCCCUAUACAUUCGUGAUGAUUUAAAUAAAUAUUGAAAUAUAAUAUCUAAUAUUAAGUAUGUUUUUACCUUGACUACAUGAGCUAGAGUUAACUAUUUAUUCCAUUACAAAUAUGAUUUAACAUUGUCUAACAAUUUUUAAUUAAUCUCAAAAUAAAUGUGGUGAUAACUUCACAUACUUAAAAUGAGAUGUCAAAGCUUCUACAGGGAAAUGAUAUCCACACUAUCAAAGUUUCUUUUAAAGAGAAUCUGAAUUCUUAUUUAAUGCUUAAAGCUGCCCAUAACAAAUUUGGAAACUCUUCUUCUGCUCUGAUUAUGACCUGUGGCUUGUGGUGCAAGGCACUCCACUGCAGUGCAACAUAGGCUAUCCUGAAUUAAAUUCACUGUCCUGUUAUGCUUGGAUAAUCUAUUGUUUACCAUACUGUAAUUUUUAUAAGAACAUUUACACUGGUUUUUAGAAGUUGCAAAGACAGCAAUGAAUAGAGAAAGAAAUACAGACAACCAGGAGACAAGGUGCUUUAUUAAGUAUUGUCUUUAAGUGAGGGAUUGGCAGCCUUUUAAAAAUUUCAGUUGAAAAUAUUUAUACAAGCUGAAAACCACAGACUUAGAGGCAGUUCUGAAAACCUUCCUGAAUUCUGCAGAACAUGGGUUAGCUAUCACUGCUUGACAUUAUUUUCUCAAUAUGACUCAAUGAAUUUAGAAAAACCUUACCAAAUAAUUAGUACACGAGGAAGUCAGCAGUCUUAGAGUCCUAUCUGCAUGUCUUGCAUAUUAUAUUCCUAAUGUUAAUCUUUAACAUUAAUAAGCCUCUGUGGCUUCUGUAUUUUUGUGAGCUAAGAGCUAGCCAAAGAGGAACUAGUCAAAUCCAUUACAUCCUUAUCAGCUACUGCUAAGAAAUCUCCAGCUGACCAAUAGAAAGGGGGUAGUAUUCUAGGAACAGAUCACCAUGUACUUGCACCAUAUUUUAUAUUCCUGCCUAUAGCAUCUGCUCAUAGCUUCUGUUCAGAGACAGAAUAAUAAGUAAAAAUGGGAUUUUGGCCAGUACAGAUAUCCUUAACAUUCCUCCAGAUGAUGUUCCUUCUCUUAGAAUUACCUUUGGAGCUUCCCAUCCAUGAUUUCAUUAAUUUAAUGCUCAAAAAUCUACAGAAAUGGAAACAGUUUACAGUGAUGAUUAAAGUCCUCUUGUUGAGAUGGCUGGAUAUGUAGAGCUAGCCUUUCCUCCUUUAUUUGUAGAGUAAUCAUUCUGUUAGGUCAGUGUUUUGUUAGAAACAUCUGGGCUGCCUUCCGUAUUGCUUGAUCACCAUAGAAAUGAUGGACAAUUUUAGACAUGAAGACAGAGAAAAUUGAAAAGCAUUGAGUAAGCCUUACUCUGCAAUCCUGUAAAACUUCCUGACAGUCUCUCCAGGCUCUAGUGAUUCUCUACAGGGUCUAUCCACACUGAACUAAACUACUGUACUGUGACACUAGUCUCUACAUAAAAGUUCUCCCACAGCUUGGCCCUGCUGAAUAAGGUUGGCCAGUAAGCAAGAGUUUUGGUUUGCUGAGACAUGGGAAUGAAAUACAGCUCUUUAAAUAUGUCAAGAGAAAAAAUAGCAGUGAGAGACAAUGACCUAGCAUAGCCAAAUCCACGGUGCGCUCGCAUCCUGAAUCCUGCUUGUAGGUCUAGUUAUGACCCAUCUCAGAACGGAUACAGCAGAACCAGGAAAGAUACAGAGAAGGAAAACAAGGCCUGUCAGAGGAAUUAAAAGGUCCCCACAGAUAGUAAAUGCAUGCAGACUGGGGACUAGGAAGUUAUUUUUUCACAGUAUUCAUAAUGAAAUUAUGGAAAUUAU
Molecule: long non-coding RNA, 2563 nt
Organism: Athene cunicularia (burrowing owl)
Lineage: Eukaryota; Metazoa; Chordata; Aves; Strigiformes; Strigidae
Exons: 3
Source: RefSeq, a predicted model, not a curated record